This is an RNA transcript of Daphnia magna, 2229 nucleotides long. RefSeq lists it as uncharacterized. Lineage: Eukaryota; Metazoa; Arthropoda; Branchiopoda; Diplostraca; Daphniidae. The transcript has 10 exons. The record is from RefSeq and is a predicted model, not a curated record.
UUGAUUCGUCUGUACAGUUGGUAAACAGUAAACAUGUGGCAGCUGGAUAACUGUAGUUAAAUCAGAAAUAAAGAACUAUUGGGAUCGACAGCGAAAGUUUCCCCUUAUCCAGGAGUUCUUUGUGAAAACCUAAAUACAGUCAAUUGCAUGUCAGUGGUCAAAUACCUAGUGAGUUUGGUUUCGUAAUUACUGCUUUUCUUCCAAUUUUACAACAGCGUUUACUUGUGUAAAGACUUAGCUAAAUUUGUACAAAUGGAACGCUCAACCACCGAAGGAGGCAGCGUUAUUGUUACGGAAGAUUUGGAAAACCGGAUCGAAUUUCGUCCGAGUCUUUCGGGUGCACUAGAACGCCCACUUCCUACAUUAAAUUAUCUAUUGAUGGAAUAUCGAGAAGCCAUUGAGGAAAAGGCUCGCUACCAAAUAGAAUUAGACCAUGAAAUCAAAAUAGCAGAUGAUUUGCAAAAUGAACUCAAUUAUUACCAAACUGUCUUGGAUCACAAAACGAAAAAUAAUCAGAUUCCUCCGUUAGGAGUUCAACAGUUCUGCAGCAUCGAAUCAAUCUAUAAAGAGCUCACAGCUGCCAUCAAAACUUUAGAAGAACAAUUGCUAAGUCAGCAGGAAGGAAUUCAAGCUGCCAUCAAUCAGGUUGAAAAGUCAGCAUGGGAAAUGUCUCGGAUAGGCGAACAAGAGUUUCUACAAAAAAUGAACCAACUGGAGGUCACCUUUGAAGGCGAAAUGGAAAUUCUGCGCCAAGCAAUGAAGAAAGAGGAAGGCAAGUUAAGAACAGCAAAAGAAAAGUCUGAAUUGGAGCAUUCAAAACGGAUGGAGGAAGUACGGAAAAGUAUGGCCAAUAGAAUGAAAUCUGACAGUCAUCACAUCGAGUGUCGUUCGAUCGAGCUGGAUUUAAGGAAGCAAUGUGCACGCUUGGAAAAGGAACUCAAGCAGUUGGAACAACAACAAAGAUCCAAACGCAAACUUCCGCUAUCCUUCGUUGCUAGUGACAAUGCAACGGAAAGGGCGGGCAAGUCCCCAAACAAUUCGAAAGGCAACAAUAGAAACAAUGACACGUUGACUCCCCGCCCAACUCAACCCGGUUCAGCUGGCAAAGAGCCACCGGAGAACGCGCCCAAUGGUAGCGGUGGCGCUCGCAAGCACAACGCUCAAAGAAAAAGAAGAGAAUUGGCGGCCUUGGAUCAUGCAUUUGACCAAUACACGGCUUACAAAGAACAUUUUCGCCAUUUGGCACAAAUCGUGUAGCAUAGCCAAAAGGGAAAACCCUCUUUUCUUUCCGUAAGUAUUGCCUAACAUGAUGAAGUACGGAUUCCUUUAUAGGUGUUUUAUCAUGGGAAAAUCCUAAAAAAGCAUUUCCGGCAUUGGCUUGUUGAAUGGGGAAAACCAAAGUUAUCAUCAUCCAAGGGCUCCAAGAAUUUUACGAGUCACUAUGAGUGAAUCAAGAAAAGCAUAGAAAUGCUACCCGAUACAACCAGCCUACGUUAUCAUUUAAUAGGUAAGACCCAGUGUAACCUUUUAAACAAAGGGAAUAAUACCAAGAAGUAUAAGCUGCCAUGCGCUUUGGCCCUGCGAUAAUGUCAUUCCGUUAAAGAAAGAAAACAAAGGCUAAAAGAGGAAGAGAAAAGGAAAGAAAAAAAUAGCCGCAGGGCGGGAUUCACCUUGGUCUUAAGCUGGAAAUGAGAGUCCACGCGUCCGUGCUCACGCAUCUGGAGGCACCAAGUCAAAAAGUCAAUAAACCUUUGGAUCUUCUUCAUAAUCAACAGUAUCUCUCGUCUGAGGAGUAACCACGGCUGACCUAAGUCCGACACAACAGCAGUUUUAAAAAUCAAUCUAUCAACUUCCAACGCUUUUGUUGCUACACCUACGGGGAAGAGGAAAGAAAGAAGGUAUUUAAGGUACGUUUUCAGAUGUUGUUCGUCGAUAACAACUGCUGGUGGAUACCCGAGGCAAUGUCGCGGAUUUUCUGCCCUUCCUAUUGCAAUAAAAGUGGUGUAUGCAGCGCUGCAGCUUUGGCUUGACACGCAUACACGCACCUGAGUUCUGUGUGGCGAUGGCCAUAGUCUUCCAGUAGAAGACCUGCCUGGCUGGACAGUCAUUCACGCGAAGACCGAGCCGUCAUCUUGCUAAACAACGUUUUCUGGGCAAAUACCUUUUGUUUUCUCAUCCAUUUCUGUUCCGGUUUCUGGUGUUUAAAUUGUUAGUGCAACCAAACCAUUA